This 521-nucleotide ribosomal RNA is filed under the name uncultured bacterium. RNAcentral describes it as "bacterial SSU rRNA". It matches the Rfam family "Bacterial small subunit ribosomal RNA", at positions 202 to 716 of the family's 1533-position model. The record is from RNAcentral.
ACAAGCUCCUGCUUCUGGAUGAGCCCGCGUCCCAUCAGCUAGUUGGUAGGGUAAUGGCCUACCAAGGCUACGACGGGUAGCUGGUCUAAGAGGAUGGCCAGCCACACUGGAACUGAGACACGGUCCAGACUCCUACGGGAGGCAGCAGUGGGGAAUCUUGCGCAAUGGGCGAAAGCCUGACGCAGCGACGCCGCGUGGGUGACGAAGGCCUUCGGGUUGUAAAGCCCUGUGGGGUAGAACGAACUGGCAUCGGGCUAAUAUCCCGGUGUCUUGACGGUACUGCCUUAGCAAGCAUCGGCUAACUCUGUGCCAGCAGCCGCGGUAAGACAGAGGAUGCGAACGUUGCUCGGAUUUACUGGGCGUAAAGCGCGUGUAGGCGGUCUCGUUAGUCGGGUGUGAAAGCCCCGGGCUCAACCCGGGAAGUGCACCCGAUACUUGCGAGACUGGGGUACUGAAGAGGAGAGCGGAAUUCCCGGUGUAGAGGUGUAAAUUCGUAGAUAUCGGGAGGUAACACCAGUGGC